This 205-nucleotide long non-coding RNA is filed under the name Malurus cyaneus samueli. Its description in RNAcentral is "lncRNA (ENSMCSG00000011569.1)". The record is from RNAcentral. Lineage: Eukaryota; Metazoa; Chordata; Aves; Passeriformes; Maluridae.
AAAGAUGGUGCCAAGGGUGACAGCGGUGCUCCUGGUCCAAAGGGUGAAACUGGUCUUCCUGGAGUAAAUGGAGCACCAGGCCAACCGGGACCAAGAGGUCCAGCUGGAGAAAGAGGAAGACCUGGGAAUCCUGGUGGCCCUGUAAGUAAUUGCAGACAUUGUUCUUCUCCAGAGGCAGCACAUAUUUGGAUUCAAUAUGCUGAGA